This 1004-nucleotide ribosomal RNA is filed under the name human gut metagenome. RNAcentral's name for it is "bacterial LSU rRNA". It matches the Rfam family "Bacterial large subunit ribosomal RNA", at positions 1926 to 2925 of the family's 2925-position model. The record is from RNAcentral.
AACGGCGGCCGUAACUAUAACGGUCCUAAGGUAGCGAAAUUCCUUGUCAGGUAAGUUCUGACCCGCAUGAAAGGCGUAAUGAUUUGGGCACUGUCUCGACAGCCCGCCCGGCGAAAUUGUAGUACCGGUGAAGAUGCCGGUUACCCGCGACAAGACGGAAAGACCCCAUGGAGCUUUACUGUAGCCUAAUAUUGGGUUUCGAUGUUGCAUGCACAGGAUAGAUGGGACACAGGGAAACAAGUGCUUUGGCAUUUGUGGAGUGGCCGUUGGGAUACCAUCCUUGCGAUAUUGGAAUUCUAACCUGCGCCUUUGAAUCAAGGCGGGGGACAUUGUUAGGUGGGCAGUUUGACUGGGGCGGUCGCCUCCUAAAGAGUAACGGAGGCGUUCAAAGGUUCGCUCAGCUUGAACGGAAAUCAAGCAAAAGAGUGCAAACGCAGAAGCGAGCCUAACUGCGAGACUGACGGGUCGAGCAGUAACGAAAGUUGGAGUUAGUGAUCCGGUGGUAUGUGAGUGGAAAUGCCAUCGCUCAACGGAUAAAAGUUACCCUGGGGAUAACAGGCUGAUCUCCCCCAAGAGUCCACAUCGACGGGGAGGUUUGGCACCUCGAUGUCGGCUCAUCGCAUCCUGGGGCUGUAUUCGGUCCCAAGGGUUUGGCUGUUCGCCAAUUAAAGCGGUACGCGAGCUGGGUUCAGAACGUCGUGAGACAGUUCGGUCCCUAUCUGUCGUGGGCGCAGGAUAUUUGAUGGGAGCUGUUCCUAGUACGAGAGGACCGGAGCGGACGUACCUCUGGCGCACCAGUUGUUCUGCCAAGGGCAUAGCUGGGCAACUAUGUACGGAUCGGAUAAACGCUGAAAGCAUCUAAGCGUGAAGCCGACCCAAAGAUAAGAUAUCCCAUUGUUUCAAACAAGUAAGACCCCUUGAAGACUACAAGGUUGAUAGGCACGAUGUGUAAGUGGAGUGAUCCAUUCAGCAAGCGUGUACUAAUAGGUCGAGGGCUUGACCAC